GACGAACGCUGGCGGCGUGCCUAAUACAUGCAAGUAGAGCGCUGAAGGAGGAGCUUGCUUCUCCGGAUGAGUUGCGAACGGGUGAGUAACGCGUAGGUAACCUGCCUGGUAGCGGGGGAUAACUAUUGGAAACGAUAGCUAAUACCGCAUAACAGUAGAUGUUGCAUGACAUUUGCUUAAAAGGUGCAAUUGCAUCACUACCAGAUGGACCUGCGUUGUAUUAGCUAGUUGGUGAGGUAACGGCUCACCAAGGCGACGAUACAUAGCCGACCUGAGAGGGGGAUCGGCCACACUGGGACUGAGACACGGCCCAGACUCCUACGGGAGGCAGCAGUAGGGAAUCUUCGGCAAUGGACGGAAGUCUGACCGAGCAACGCCGCGUGAGUGAAGAAGGUUUUCGGAUCGUAAAGCUCUGUUGUAAGAGAAGAACGAGUGUGAGAGUGGAAAGUUCACAAUGUGACGGUAUCUGACCAGAAAGGGACGGCUAACUACGUG
Molecule: ribosomal RNA, 495 nt
Filed under: uncultured bacterium
Lineage: Bacteria
Description: partial 16S ribosomal RNA
Rfam family: Bacterial small subunit ribosomal RNA
Source: RNAcentral